RNAcentral lists this ribosomal RNA (653 nucleotides) under Acephala sp. ASR-197. RNAcentral describes it as "eukaryotic LSU rRNA". The stretch from base 324 to 477 matches the Rfam family "5.8S ribosomal RNA". The record is from RNAcentral. Lineage: Eukaryota; Fungi; Ascomycota; Leotiomycetes; Helotiales; Mollisiaceae.
CCCCAGAAAUCCACCUCAAAAUCUCCGGGCCGGCAGAAAACGCCCGCAGAGCCGCGUGACCACGCCCCCAACGGCAACCAGGUAGACGCCAAACACGGGCCCCAACCCCCGCCACACCCUUUUUUAAGGACCCCUUCCCGGUAGGUGAACCUGCGGAAGGAUCAUUAAAAAAGGAUACCGGGCAACCGGUAGACCCCACCCGUGUCUCUCUACUCUUGUUGCUUUGGCAGGCCGUGGCCUCCACCGCGGGCUCUGCCUGCGUGUGCCUGCCAGAGGACCAAACUCUGAAUUUUAGUGAUGUCUGAGUACUAUAUAAUAGUUAAAACUUUCAACAACGGAUCUCUUGGUUCUGGCAUCGAUGAAGAACGCAGCGAAAUGCGAUAAGUAAUGUGAAUUGCAGAAUUCAGUGAAUCAUCGAAUCUUUGAACGCACAUUGCGCCCGGUGGUAUUCCGCCGGGCAUGCCUGUUCGAGCGUCAUUAUAACCACUCAAGCCUGGCUUGGUAUUGGGGUUCGCGGUUCCGCGGCCCCUAAAAUCAGUGGCGGUGCCGGUGGGCUCUAAGCGUAGUAAAUCUCCUCGCUAUAGGGUCCCCCCGGUUGCCUGCCAGAACCCCCCAUUUUUUCAGUGACCUCGAGUCAGGUAGGAUACCCGCGA